GAUUAGAGUUUGAUCCUGGCUCAGAUUGAACGCUGGCGGCAGGCCUAACACAUGCAAGUCGAGCGGUAGCACAGAGAGCUUGCUCUCGGGUGACGAGCGGCGGACGGGUGAGUAAUGUCUGGGAAACUGCCUGAUGGAGGGGGAUAACUACUGGAAACGGUAGCUAAUACCGCAUAACGUCGCAAGACCAAAGUGGGGGACCUUCGGGCCUCAUGCCAUCAGAUGUGCCCAGAUGGGAUUAGCUGGUAGGUGGGGUAACGGCUCACCUAGGCGACGAUCCCUAGCUGGUCUGAGAGGAUGACCAGCCACACUGGAACUGAGACACGGUCCAGACUCCUACGGGAGGCAGCAGUGGGGAAUAUUGCACAAUGGGCGCAAGCCUGAUGCAGCCAUGCCGCGUGUGUGAAGAAGGCCUUCGGGUUGUAAAGCACUUUCAGCGGGGAGGAAGGCGGUGAGGUUAAUAACCUCAUCGAUUGACGUUACCCGCAGAAGAAGCACCGGCUAACUCCGUGCCAGCAGCCGCGGUAAUACGGAGGGUGCAAGCGUUAAUCGGAAUUACUGGGCGUAAAGCGCACGCAGGCGGUCUGUCAAGUCGGAUGUGAAAUCCCCGGGCUCAACCUGGGAACUGCAUUCGAAACUGGCAGGCUAGAGUCUUGUAGAGGGGGGUAGAAUUCCAGGUGUAGCGGUGAAAUGCGUAGAGAUCUGGAGGAAUACCGGUGGCGAAGGCGGCCCCCUGGACAAAGACUGACGCUCAGGUGCGAAAGCGUGGGGAGCAAACAGGAUUAGAUACCCUGGUAGUCCACGCUGUAAACGAUGUCGAUUUGGAGGUUGUGCCCUUGAGGCGUGGCUUCCGGAGCUAACGCGUUAAAUCGACCGCCUGGGGAGUACGGCCGCAAGGUUAAAACUCAAAUGAAUUGACGGGGGCCCGCACAAGCGGUGGAGCAUGUGGUUUAAUUCGAUGCAACGCGAAGAACCUUACCUGGUCUUGACAUCCACAGAACUUAGCAGAGAUGCUUUGGUGCCUUCGGGAACUGUGAGACAGGUGCUGCAUGGCUGUCGUCAGCUCGUGUUGUGAAAUGUUGGGUUAAGUCCCGCAACGAGCGCAACCCUUAUCCUUUGUUGCCAGCGGUCCGGCCGGGAACUCAAAGGAGACUGCCAGUGAUAAACUGGAGGAAGGUGGGGAUGACGUCAAGUCAUCAUGGCCCUUACGACCAGGGCUACACACGUGCUACAAUGGCAUAUACAAAGAGAAGCGACCUCGCGAGAGCAAGCGGACCUCAUAAAGUAUGUCGUAGUCCGGAUUGGAGUCUGCAACUCGACUCCAUGAAGUCGGAAUCGCUAGUAAUCGUAGAUCAGAAUGCUACGGUGAAUACGUUCCCGGGCCUUGUACACACCGCCCGUCACACCAUGGGAGUGGGUUGCAAAAGAAGUAGGUAGCUUAACCUUCGGGAGGGCGCUUACCACUUUGUGAUUCAUGACUGGGGUGAAGUCGUAACAAGGUAACCGUUU
Molecule: ribosomal RNA, 1509 nt
Filed under: Klebsiella pneumoniae
Lineage: Bacteria; Pseudomonadati; Pseudomonadota; Gammaproteobacteria; Enterobacterales; Enterobacteriaceae
Description: bacterial SSU rRNA
Rfam family: Bacterial small subunit ribosomal RNA
Source: RNAcentral